UGACAAUUUAAGAUAACUACUGAGAGAGGAGGUCUUACAUGGCUGUUUUCACCCCAUCUGGCGGUCACACAAAUCUGAUAAAAGCUGUGGAUUAUGUUUUAUCAAGAUUCUGUUGGCUGUGGUGACAGCUUACUUCCCUCCUAUUACAGACGUGCUUUUGGCAUAGAGGCAUGGCUGAAUCCUCACAUCAUCAACUAGAGUGGGAAGCAUGUUCUUUCCUCCAAGUGGAGUUGGAAAUGUCCCAGGGAAGGACUCUAACUGGCCCCACUGGAGUCAGGAUGAUGGGAAGCCAUUUCUGUGCAGGGAGACCCGGAA
Molecule: long non-coding RNA, 315 nt
Filed under: Rhinopithecus bieti (black snub-nosed monkey)
Lineage: Eukaryota; Metazoa; Chordata; Mammalia; Primates; Cercopithecidae
Description: lncRNA (ENSRBIG00000045023.1)
Source: RNAcentral